UGGGGAAUAUUGGACAAUGGGCGAAAGCCUGAUCCAGCCAUGCCGCGUGUGUGAAGAAGGUCUUCGGAUUGUAAAGCACUUUAAGUUGGGAGGAAGGGCAGUAAGCGAAUACCUUGCUGUUUUGACGUUACCGACAGAAUAAGCACCGGCUAACUCUGUGCCAGCAGCCGCGGUAAUACAGAGGGUGCAAGCGUUAAUCGGAAUUACUGGGCGUAAAGCGCGCGUAGGUGGUUCGUUAAGUUGAAUGUGAAAGCCCCGGGCUCAACCUGGGAACUGCAUCCAAAACUGGCGAGCUAGAGUAGGGCAGAGGGUGGUGGAAUUUCCUGUGUAGCGGUGAAAUGCGUAGAUAUAGGAAGGAACACCAGUGGCGAAGGCGACCACCUGGGCUCAUACUGACACUUAGGUGCGAAAGCGUGGGGAGCAAACAGG
RNAcentral lists this ribosomal RNA (429 nucleotides) under Pseudomonadota bacterium. RNAcentral describes it as "Proteobacteria bacterium partial 16S ribosomal RNA". It matches the Rfam family "Bacterial small subunit ribosomal RNA", at positions 355 to 776 of the family's 1533-position model. Lineage: Bacteria; Pseudomonadati; Pseudomonadota. The record is from RNAcentral.